GGGGAAUAUUGGACAAUGGGCGCAAGCCUGAUCCAGCCAUGCCGCGUGGGUGAAGAAGGCCUUCGGGUUGUAAAGCCCUUUUGUUGGGAAAGAAAACUUUCCGGUCAAUACCCGGAGAGAAUGACGGUACCCAAAGAAUAAGCACCGGCUAACUUCGUGCCAGCAGCCGCGGUAAUACGAAGGGUGCAAGCGUUACUCGGAAUUACUGGGCGUAAAGCGUGCGCAGGUGGUUUGUUAAGUCUGAUGUGAAAGCCCUGGGCUCAACCUGGGAAUUGCAUUGGAAACUGGCAGGCUAGAGUACGGUAGAGGGUAGUGGAAUUCCUGGUGUAGCAGUGAAAUGCGUAGAGAUCAGGAGGAACAUCCGUGGCGAAGGCGACUACCUGGACCAGUACUGACACUGAGGCACGAAAGCAUGGGGAGCAAAC
RNAcentral lists this ribosomal RNA (425 nucleotides) under uncultured bacterium. RNAcentral's name for it is "bacterial SSU rRNA". It matches the Rfam family "Bacterial small subunit ribosomal RNA", at positions 356 to 773 of the family's 1533-position model. The record is from RNAcentral.